RNAcentral lists this ribosomal RNA (336 nucleotides) under uncultured archaeon. RNAcentral describes it as "bacterial SSU rRNA". It matches the Rfam family "Archaeal small subunit ribosomal RNA", at positions 61 to 406 of the family's 1478-position model. The record is from RNAcentral.
AACGCCGCAGGCAGUGGCACACGGCUCAGUAACACGCAGUCAACAUGCCCAAAGGACGUGGAUAACCUCGGGAAACUGAGGAUAAACCGCGAUAGGCCAAGGUUUCUGGAAUGAGCCCUGGCCGAAUUCUAUAUGGCCUUUGGAUGGACUGCGGCCGAUCAGGCUGUUGUGAGGAAUGGCCCACCAAACCUGUAACCGGUACGGGCUUUGAGAGAAGUAGCCCGGAGAUGGGCACUGAGACAAGGGCCCAGGCCCUAUGGGGCGCAGCAGGCGCGAAACCUCUGCAAUAGGCGAAAGCCUGACAGGGUUACUCUGAGUGAUGCCCGCUAAGGGUAU